UGGGGAAUAUUGGACAAUGGGCGCAAGCCUGAUCCAGCCAUGCCGCGUGUGUGAAGAAGGCCCUCGGGUUGUAAAGCACUUUCAGUGGGGAAGAAAGCCUCGCGGCUAAUAUCCGCGAGGAAGGACAUCACCCACAGAAGAAGCACCGGCUAACUCCGUGCCAGCAGCCGCGGUAAUACGGAGGGUGCGAGCGUUAAUCGGAAUUACUGGGCGUAAAGCGCGCGUAGGUGGCUUGAUAAGCCGGUUGUGAAAGCCCCGGGCUCAACCUGGGAACGGCAUCCGGAACUGUCAGGCUAGAGUGCAGGAGAGGAAGGUAGAAUUCCCGGUGUAGCGGUGAAAUGCGUAGAGAUCGGGAGGAAUACCAGUGGCGAAGGCGGCCUUCUGGACUGACACUGACACUGAGGUGCGAAAGCGUGGGGUAGCAAACAGGAUUAGAUACCC
This 441-nucleotide ribosomal RNA is filed under the name uncultured bacterium. RNAcentral's name for it is "bacterial SSU rRNA". It matches the Rfam family "Bacterial small subunit ribosomal RNA", at positions 355 to 787 of the family's 1533-position model. The record is from RNAcentral.